CAUAGGUUAAUGAGGCGAACCGGGGGAACUGAAACAUCUAAGUACCCCGAGGAAAAGAAAUCAACCGAGAUUCCCCCAGUAGCGGCGAGCGAACGGGGAGCAGCCCAGAGCCUGAAUCAGUGUGUGUGUUAGUGGAAGCGUCUGGAAAGGCGCGCGAUACAGGGUGACAGCCCCGUACACAAAAAUGCACAUGCUGUGAGCUCGAUGAGUAGGGCGGGACACGUGGUAUCCUGUCUGAAUAUGGGGGGACCAUCCUCCAAGGCUAAAUACUCCUGACUGACCGAUAGUGAACCAGUACCGUGAGGGAAAGGCGAAAAGAACCCCGGCGAGGGGAGUGAAAAAGAACCUGAAACCGUGUACGUACAAGCAGUGGGAGCACAGAGCAAUCUGUGUGACUGCGUACCUUUUGUAUAAUGGGUCAGCGACUUAUAUUCUGUAGCAAGGUUAACCGAAUAGGGGAGCCGAAGGGAAACCGAGUCUUAACUGGGCGUUAAGUUGCAGGGUAUAGACCCGAAACCCGGUGAUCUAGCCAUGGGCAGGUUGAAGGUUGGGUAACACUAACUGGAGGACCGAACCGACUAAUGUUGAAAAAUUAGCGGAUGACUUGUGGCUGGGGGUGAAAGGCCAAUCAAACCGGGAGAUAGCUGGUUCUCCCCGAAAGCUAUUUAGGUAGCGCCUCGUGAAUUCAUCUCCGGGGGUAGAGCACUGUUUCGGCAAGGGGGUCAUCCCGACUUACCAACCCGAUGCAAACUACGAAUACCGGAGAAUGUUAUCACGGGAGACACACGGCGGGUGCUAACGUCCGUCGUGAAGAGGGAAACAACCCAGACCGCCAGCUAAGGUCCCAAAGUCAUGGUUAAGUGGGAAACGAUGUGGGAAGGCCCAGACAGCCAGGAUGUUGGCUUAGAAGCAGCCAUCAUUUAAAGAAAGCGUAAUAGCUCACUGGUCGAGUCGGCCUGCGCGGAAGAUGUAACGGGGCUAAACCAUGCACCGAAGCUGCGGCAGCGACGCU
This 1012-nucleotide ribosomal RNA is filed under the name Escherichia coli. RNAcentral's name for it is "partial 23S ribosomal RNA". It matches the Rfam family "Bacterial large subunit ribosomal RNA", at positions 165 to 1215 of the family's 2925-position model. Lineage: Bacteria; Pseudomonadati; Pseudomonadota; Gammaproteobacteria; Enterobacterales; Enterobacteriaceae. The record is from RNAcentral.